UACGUAGGGGGCUAGCGUUGUCCGGAAUCAUUGGGCGUAAAGAGCGUGUAGGCGGCCCGGUAAGUCCGCUGUGAAAGUCGGGGGCUCAACCCUCGAAUGCCGGUGGAUACUGUCGGGCUAGAGUGCGGAAGAGGCGAGUGGAAUUCCUGGUGUAGCGGUGGAAUGCGCAGAUAUCAGGAGGAACACCGAUUGCGAAGGCAGCUCGCUGGGACGUAACUGACGCUGAGACGCGAAAGCGUGGGGAGCAAACAGG
This 253-nucleotide ribosomal RNA is filed under the name uncultured bacterium. RNAcentral's name for it is "partial 16S ribosomal RNA". It matches the Rfam family "Bacterial small subunit ribosomal RNA", at positions 524 to 776 of the family's 1533-position model. The record is from RNAcentral.